GCCUUAGUGUCCACUUUAUUAUACCUUCCAAAUACGACUCACAUGCUUAUUAUGCACUACUGUAUCGUAAAAGUAGAUGAAAAACCACCUGAAGAAGUAUGUACAUGGUCCAGAACACGGGCUCUGGAGUUCCUGUGUGACUUUGGACGAGUUGAUCACCUUAAACCUCUACUGCUCAUUUGUGAAGGAGAGAGAAUAGCAACACCUGUCCAAGGAUUUCGAGGAUUUGCAACAAUCCACGGUUCAACAAGGGUGCACAGAGACCCAAGAGUGUGGAAGAGGAAGCCAUAGAGUGAUGGAAUAAAUAACUGGUUUCCUUGAAAAUGAAUGGCAAAGUCAUCUGGUACAUUUUCCCUCCUUUUUUUAGCACUAAGUUCAUUGACCUGACUACUCAGA
This 396-nucleotide long non-coding RNA is filed under the name Homo sapiens (human). RNAcentral's name for it is "non-protein coding lnc-MRPS9-1:4". Lineage: Eukaryota; Metazoa; Chordata; Mammalia; Primates; Hominidae. The record is from RNAcentral.